This 9315-nucleotide long non-coding RNA is filed under the name Homo sapiens (human). RNAcentral describes it as "HSALNT0405679". Lineage: Eukaryota; Metazoa; Chordata; Mammalia; Primates; Hominidae. The record is from RNAcentral.
ACACAUGUAGGUGUAUGGCCCAGGAGCUCCAUGCACAGGAGACACUCCUGGAAUGCAGCUCCUGCUGCUGUGGCUAGCUGGGCACUCCACCCCAGCUCCCCUGCAGUGCGCCACUGCCCAGCCCUGAGACCAGGGUCACCUCCCCUUCCUUCUGUGGAAAUCCAUCUAGUCCAUUGAGAAUGCCAGCAUGUUUCGGAGGCCCCUGAGAAGUUAAUACCCCGCAAGGAAACUCUGCUGUCUUCAAGGAGAUCGUGACCGUGAUCACAGAAAGAGCCUGGCAUUUCCAAUUAAGAAUGAGUCCAAACAAUGAUUCCAACUGUGAGCGGCUAUCUGCAGCCACUUAAAUUACCUGCUUUGCACAAUACAAGCAGCAGCUCCUGCCAGCAUUUGGAAGGCCAAGGCAGGAGGAGCACUUGAGGCCAAGAGUUCAAAACCAGCCUGGGCAACAUAGCAAAACCCCAUCUUUACAGGAAAAAAAAAAAUUAGCCAGGUGUGGUGGCACAUGCCUGUAGUCCCAGCUACUUGGGAGGCUGAGGUGGGAGGAUCGCUUGAGAUGGGGAGGUCGAGGCUGCAGUGAGCCAUGAUCAUGCCACUGCACUCCAGGCAACAAAACGAGACUUUGUAUCUUAAAAAAAAAAAGAAAGAAAAGAAAAAAGAAAAAGAAAAUUAACUGCAUAGUUCAUAUCAUUUACAUAUAUAUACAGAAAUCAAUUCUGGAUACAUUAAGGACUUCAGUGUGAAUCUUGAAAACUGAGCUGGUAAGAAGGGGGCAAGGGCAGAAGGGCAGAGAGGGAUGGUGGGAGUGAAGUAGGCACAACAAAGAUGAAGGCUCAUACUGGAAAAAGUGCCCAGAAUGUCCCAGGACAGUGAGAUGCUUCCUGGUCACUUGUUCUGCUUGGCCAAAGCAGGCAAAGAGGAGCAGGAGGAGAAAGGUCAGAUCAUCACCAGAAAGAGCUACCAGGGGUCAGGGUGAGGUCAAAGUAGGCACAGAAACAGCCAUGGGAGAAGGCAAUUAACUUUGGGCCAAGGAGAUCAGAGAGGGUGGUUAACAGGUUCUCCUGUGGUGCUGACUUUGAGUGCUGAUCACAGCAGCAGGAUGGGGGCUGUUGGUGGCCAUAAGUGGCCUCCCAUCAGACUCUCACCCAUGCCUGGAUUGGGACCUCUGCAUCUGGAAUGUCCCUUGGGAAAGCUAAAGAGUGGAUUCAGUACAGUCAAGUGAGCCACCUCCCACUAGAUAACUCCAGAGAACAGGGGCAGUGCCAGCAUCACCCCCAAUUCAGAAGGGCCCUACCCUUGAUUUAAUUCUCAGCUGUCUUGAAAUUCUUAAUAAUUUUUGCAAGGGGCCCUAUAUUUUCAUUUUGCAUUUGCCCCACAAGUCAAGAAGCAGGUUUUGCUAGGGGAUGACAGUUCCAGGGACCACUUCUCUGAACCCCAACCACCAAGGACAGUGGAUCGGUGCCAGGGUCCCAAGAAGUCCUGUCUGGCUUGGGUUCCAGCCACGUACAACAUAAACCAACUUCGUUUAGAAUGCCUUCCGUUGGUUUUCCACACAAUGGCAGGAGACAGUGCAGCUGACGAGCCAUCAAAGAGCAACAACAAAUAAUAACUGAACUAGUAAGGACACUUCAUGCUUUUUGGUUAGUCAAUUGCAAGUGAAAACAAGGCACAUUAUACUGGCCAAAGAAUAAUCUCUCAGAAUGAUGGAAGUCUAAUGUAGGGAAGCUUACAGCAAGGUGUUGUCCACACCCGCCCCAAGCAUCAUGAACCAGAACGUUCUUGCCAAGGGUGAUGGGGCUGCUAGAGGGAAGCAUUCACACCCUUUGACUCAGCGAUUGCAUUCUUGGCAAUGUGUCCCGGAAAGAAACACAAAGGAAAAACUUUACAUGCCAAAGAUGCUCAGGCAGCAGUUGGCUACAGUGAUCUGGGAAGAACCUAAAUGUCUAACAGAAGGAAAAGGCAUUCCACAGCCUUCCAACGAAUAAACACAAAGCCUGCGAUAACGUGGGAAAGUGUUUAUGAUGUACAGCCAUGUGAAAAUGACAUUUUUUUUUUUUGGAUCUCAAUGAUAUUAAAAGGAUGUUUGUAUAAAGGAAAAACAUUGACCAAAAAUAGAGACCUAAAAACAGUGGCAAAGGGAUAAUGGCGCUAUGGAAACGCCAUGCUCUUGAACAUCUGGAAUUGUUGUCUAAACAGUAAAUAACCCUUAAAAAUAAUGAAUGCCUAGGGCACAGAAGAUUGGUCCUGCUGAAUCUCAGAAAGUCUGGCCAAAAACAAAGCAUGUGUGCUGGGGGACAGGUGAGGAGUGGGAUUUGGGGAAGGGAUUUUGCCAGGCAGAUGAGCAGUUACCAAAUGGUUAAUGAACUAAGAGUCACAUUCCAGGGGCCCUGUCCCGUACAAACUAUGCUGCUUCUAAUGUAAAAAUAUCCGCGGUGGAGGGAUGCACCCAGUGGGCCUGACCAGGAAAGACACUUGUCCUCUAACCAGCCCCACCUAUGGCCGAAAGGCUGAUGGCCAUGCCAGGUCAGGAUGCGGCAGGCAGCCCCAGGGCGCUGUCCAGGUGGGGUUCCAUUCCCCAAGUCUGUGGCCUCCUUCCGCCUUGACACACCACCCAGUGUGAGCAACUACUAUUUCUGAAGAUAUGCGUCAGGAAUCAUUACUCAACACACACGUCACAGGGAAACAGGACAUAAAAGGAAAUUUAUCUUUGGCAGCCCAAAGCCCAUAACUUCAUUUUUAUUCAUAUUGCUCAUCUAUUUGAUCAGAUGCUGCUGCUGGUUUGAGCUGACUGGCACUUUAUAGGAAAACCAGAUGCCAGGAGAAUGAAUCUGCAGUGGGCAGGGCCGGGCCCUACAGGACACUCCCUGAUGAGGUCAGAAGAAGAUGUACAUCCAGCAAACCCCUCAGUCCCAGCUCCAGCUCAACCCCAUGCAUCCAGACUCAGGCCCCUCUCUCCAUUUCACUAGCCACCUUGAGAUCUUUUCACUGAAGUCUCCCAAGCCCUGCUCCCACUUUGGCCCCCGUCGGGUCACCUGUCUUAGCCUGGCACCUAAGCAGCCCUCUCUUUGCCCAGAGGCAACAGAGGUCAUUGUGCUACCUUCAGGACCAGUCAAAUAUUAUUACUAAUAAUUGUUUUUAUUAACAGGGCUGUUGCAUAUGGUUGAGCAGGUUGUACAUUGCACAGCCCUAGGAAGUGCCAUUCACAACAGACACUAUAGAUUUAUUUUUAUUACAAUGCAAAUCCAGCAAAUGGAAGAGUCUCGUUCUGACAAAUCAGAACAAUUUUAAACUAUUACAACAGUUUACAAAUAAGUAGAGGUAAGGGCCCGGCGUGGUGGCUCACGCCUGCAAUCCCAGCACUUUGGGAGGAUUUGGUUCACGCCUGUAAUCCCAGCACUUUGGCAGGCAGACCAUUUGAGUUCAGGAGUUCAAGACCAGUCUGGCCAACAUGGGGAAACCCCAUCUCUACUAAAAAUACAAAAAUUAGCCAGGCGUGGUGGCAGGCAUCUGUAAUCCCAGCUACUCGGGAGGCUGAUGCAGGAGAACAGCUUGAACCCGGGAGGCAGAGGUUGCAGUGAGCCGAGAUUGCACCACGGCACUGCAGCCUGGAAGACUCCAGAGCAAGACUCCGUCUCAAAAAAAUAACUAAACAAAAAAUAAGUAGGGGUAAAGGGUCUUGAGGAAGAGGCAUCCUUUUCUAAUCCACGCGAGGUGCCAAGUGAGCCCACAGCAGCCCUGCACGCCAACCCGUGAACGCCAAAUGAACCAGCUCCCUGGAGAGCACGCUAUGUUCUCCAGGCUCCUUGGGGCUACCAGUGGCAAAGAACCUUGACUGCCUGGCUGGGGGAGCCUGGGCCUGUCCCAGCCCCAUCGCCUCCACACUGUCAAUGCCUUCCUCACUGUCACUGGGCAUGCUGUGGCACAGUGAACAGCCACAAGCGCACAGGGCUGGUGCUUGGCCCACGAGGGUCUCCUCUUCUCUGCUGCACUGCCCCAUCAUGACCCUCUUUUCCCUCCAGGCCCUUCCAGUCCAGCACAACUGCCCCCUCGCUACCUAGGGGCUCAGGGUUGGCAUGAAGCCUGUUUGCUGAGGGGGACUUCUGCAUAGCCAAUACAAGCACUGGGGGAAGCCUGCUCUGCCCACCUCUCCCCCGUCUCCUCUCCUCCUUCCUUGAGCUCUCGCCCUCUCUACCUGUAGGCCUGCCCUUCACACAGUGACACUCACAUGCACACAGGUGUGCUGCCCUCCUGGCACCUCCGACAUGCUGCUCCCCCUACCUGGGACACUCUUACAUACAGUGCCCCCAAUCCACCCCUUAGCUGCUUGCCCACGUCGGGCCCUCUGCUGGGAUCCCUGCCCACUCGCAAUGCCUUUCCUCAGAGCUCAUGGACUCCUGCAUGCCUCAAGCUCUGUGCAUAUUCUCAAUCUUCUCUACUUGGCAUGGCCAGCGCCUCCUGGACUCUGAGUGUGGGCAGCCAGGGCCAUGCCAGUCCUCUCCUUCAUGGGAAGGGAUCAGCGUGCAGGGUCAGAGGGAUGCUGGCCUGGGGAUGAGGUGAGCUGGGCUCUGCUACUCCCAGCCCCUCUGGGCUGGGUGCCUGUCACCUGGCUGUGGACACUAUGUGCCCUACGCAGCUGCUGGGACAGAGUGAGUGACUGACAGACACUGUUGGCCAGAUUUUCUGCCUAACGGAAAAGACAAAUUCUGUCUUCUUUUACCAUUUACUGUUCUUCACUCUGCCUCAAAAGCAUUGAAAGAUUCGAGACCUCCAUCUGGCAUUUAGCCUCUUUCUAAUGACAAGGAAUCCCCCCAGAUCACCUCUCUGUAUUCCCCAGGCUCGGAGGUUCUGCCCCAGAAAGUGAGUCCCCAGCCCCACCCACUGUGGCCUUCACUCAGGCCAGGCCCCUCAAGAGUUCAGCGGGUCCCCAGGCCAUAGCCUUCCCCUUGACCAUCCAUUCAACCAACACGCGGUUAAAUGCUGGGGGUGCAGGCUCUGGCCCCACUCCUGCCUGUGUGAUCUUGAAAAAGUCAUCUCUCUUCCUUGAGCCUCAGUUUCCCCAUCUGUACAAUGAUAUGGCCAAUGAUUAUCUUCCUUGCUACCAUUGAUUAAGCACCCUUCCGUGGGCCACGGGCUUCCCACUUUCCCCUUAUUCCAAGCUGCAGAGGAGCAUCACUCCUCCAAUGAGGGAGCUGAGGUGACUUCUUCCAUGUCUCCCCUAGGUCUCAUUUGGCUCCAAGGACUGGACUUGUCCCAUGCCCACGGGCCCAUGGUUGCCUUGACAGGUUGACUCCUUGAAACCGUUCUUCCUGGCCUCUGUGCAAAUUAUGGCAGUAAAACGUCACUUCCCCAACAGGUCUGUUUGUAAAAUAAUGUGCAUUCCUAUAAGGAGCCAGAUUUAUACUGGAGGAGAUAGAAAGGAUCCUACUACUAAUGAGCAGCUACCAUGUGCCAGGAUGGGCAGGGGCUUCCAUACGUAUUACUGCCAUCAUUUUAAGACACCAAGUAGAAUUCUCACCACCUUAGGCCAAAAGCAAGUGGCCAGAGGCUCUGUCAUGUUAGGUUUGCAUGGCAGAAGGUACCGCUUCACAGUGAGUCACACCAAGUAACAGUGACAACUCGGUGUGGGAAGACAUAAAUGGGGUCAGCACUACCAUGAGGCCUCCUUUCCACAAGCCACACACCACCUCCAGAGCCAGCAGAGCUGUGCCCUCACAACUCCCCACUUCACAUCCUUUCUUGCCCAUCUGUCCUUUCUGAUGCAACCCACUGGCAGGGCCCCUUUCUAUAUCUCACCCAUCAUGAGGUCCUGACACCUCGCUGAAACCUAACUGAGCAUCCCCAUCCUCACCUGCCACUUACUCAUCCUCCAAUACACAGCUGGGUGUCACCUCCUCCACUUACUCAUCCUCCAAUACACAGCUGGGUGUCACCUCCUCCAGGAAGCUCUCCAGGAUCCCCCACUCCAGGUUCACCUAAGAGACCCACUGUCCUGUUGGAGCUUCCCUGGUUGUUCCAGAGUUCCACAGUGGGACCAGAAUGGAAAGGGUGGGGGCAGGAAAGACUCCAGCCUGAGUCAGGGGAGUCCCAGUGCACCAGGGGAGUGCACCAGGGGAAUGCCCCAGAGGAAGAACAGGAAGCUGAGGCCCCCAACCAGAGAGAAAACACCACCCAAGGAUGCUCCUUGCCCCUCAGCCUCAGAUGGCCCUUCCCAUUGUUCACUUCCAGGCGGUGGGCCGGUUCCAAACACCAGUUAGACAAAAGUGCUGAGUGCUGGAGGGGAGAGGGUGGCAUUAAGACACAGGUAAAACCCAGCCUCCAUCUCUGGUAGCUUACAGCCUCUAGGAGGGUGAGACUUGCAUCAAACAACCCAGUCCUGCUACAGAAGGGGCCCAGGAGAGGUCCGAAGGAGGGGGCACCUCCAGCCUUGGGAGGUCGGGGGAAACUUCAGGAUGAACUAGAAUGGGCAUUGCGCCUGCAAGGAUGAAUUUAUUAUGAGGGAGGGGCAGGGAGAUUGGGCCAAGUAGGCAGAGGGAGGCUGGACUGGGCAUGCUAUGAGGCUAGGCCCGAGGAGUGGCAAAUGUGAAUCCCUGGGAACCAGGAGGCCACUCUGCAGGUGCAGGGAAGGAGAUUAGAGCACAGAGCCAGUCCCUUGCUUCAGGCCUUAGUCCUUCCUCCCAGGAACCUCAGCAGAUGCCAAAUAUAGACAGUGCACUUUGGCAAGCUGUCCCCUAAAAGUCCCUAUUUGUGAAUUUUUGAAGGACCCCGUGUCCUCCAUCAAUUCCCAGCUGAAGUUCCAUGAGGCUCCUUCUCUGUCCUGGCCUUUAAAGACGUAAACACAUCAUCAAAAACAAUAACCCCUCAGAACAUUCCAGGACCUGGUGCUCACAUCACAGCCACUCACAGAGGCCGAUGCACCGUUGCCACCAAGUUUUCUGGGGGUCUGUGCAAAGAACCUAACCGCCUGACCUGGUAUGUCCGCCCCUGAUGGCCCAUGUUGGCUGCCAUCACCCUGAUCCCCUCCUGUUUCUGAGACACAUCACCCAGUCAGCUGCAAGUUCAGCUCAGCUCUCUCCACCGGGAAAAUCAGAGCUGGGCUCAGUAUGAAGGCUGGCUUGUGGGCAAGCAGGGGUGCUUUGAGGCCGCAGACGAGAAACUGAUGACCUUGGCAGUACUAUGGUCAGGGCCUGCCCAAGGCCACCAGACUCUGACCUCUGGUGAGCCCACCAUGCCAGGGCAUGGGGUUCACACGUUCUGCUCUCGUGACUUACGUUCCAACCAGAAAAGAUCCAUGAGUCCAACACAGAUCUGUACAUGUGCAUAUACACAUAAGUGCACACAUACAAAGGCAAAGGGGAGAAUGGCCAAGGGCUGAAGUCAGCACUUACAAGAGACCUCAAGUGGGUGCUUCCCCCAUUGUUGCCCACCAGUCUCUGUUUGAAGCACACAGAGACACAGAUACAUAGGUGAUUGACAGACUGGUAGGCACAGAUGCAUAGUAUCUCAUUUCAACCUCCCAGCAACCUUGCCAGGUGAGUAGGGCUUUUUGUUUGUUUUUGCCUCCUGAGUAGCUGGGAUUACAGGCAUACGCCACCAUGCUGGGCUAAUUUUUGUAUUUUUAGUAAGGAUGGGGUUUCACCAUGUUGGCCAGGCUGGUCUCGAACUCCUGACCUCAGGUGAUCUUCCCACCUCAGCUUCCCAAAAUGCUAGGAUUACAGGCAUGAACCACCAUGCCCAGCCAAGGUAAGUAGGUUUAAUGCCAUCUUUUAGAUGGGGAAACUGAGGAUCAAAAAGGUAAGAAGUCGGCUGAAGGCCAGGCAAGCAGUGGGGCUGUGCUUUGAACAUGCCAUUGCCCAGGGCUCCUCACAUGCUUAGAUCUGGGAGCAGGGUGGGGAUCUGUUCUUCUGGAACCUCUUUCAAUCCACGCUUCCCCUUGUUUGCAAGGAUGGGGGCAACUGAGAAUCACAGACGGGCACAGACACACAGCCGAGCAGCAGAGUCAGGACAAGAAGCCAGGCUCCUGACAGCCUAGCUAUACCACGGGACCUCCAGAAUAGAGGCCCAUGUGAUGCACCUCCAUACGCCCAGACCUUGUCCUGCUGCUGAAAUGGGCACCGCCUGGACCUCAUCCCUCGGCAUCCCGGAGCAGGCAGCAAGCCCAUCUCCCUCUUCAACUUGCACAAAGAUGGGCUUAGGUGCAUGAUGCAAUUUCAUUGGAACCCUUUCCUAAGGGGAAAUUUGUGUGCGGUGACACCUCACCAGAAUACCCUUUGACGUGUAUAAAACAGGAGGCCAGUCUCACCCUGUUUGCAUGCUGGGGACGAGGACACAAUCAAUUCCCAUAACGAUGUCAGGGGCUAGGCAGCUCCCACCUCCCAAAGCUGACCCCUAACUAGGCUUCCCGCAACCCCUAGCUAUGUAUGUGUUUGUAUGUGGAAAUCUUAUAAAAACUGAGAUUUCCAGCUUCUCUUGAAAACACCCUUCUGGCCUUCCCAGGCCCAUUUUCACACAGAACACCUGAGGGACAAACUCCCGUAUUCCCCCCUAGGGUCUCCGACAUGGUAGCUGAGUUCUGGCUGCUCUUGACUGCUGCACUCGCCGCUGGGCCUCCUCCCUCCGGUGCAGCAAGCUCUGCUCCAGGCCCUGUUCUAAGCACAGUGCCCACCAACACACAACUUCCUGAGCCGCCUCCUCCCCAGGCUUGCUGUGCAGGGCAGGACACCAACAGAAGGAUAAGAUGGAAGGCUGGCUGGCCUAGAGGGGUCUGGCCGUCAAAAAGGUCACCCCGUCACUGCUCUCAAGAUACAGCUGCUCUGGUCACACCUGAGGUUCCCUACAAAGGUGACAUUCCUCCACAACCAAGCCAAGUGCUAGCAGACAUCGGGUCCAAUGCUCCUUGUUAACACUUCCAGACAAGGGCAACCAAGAAAAUCAUUAGAUGAGCCAAGAGAAAAAAAACAAUGUCUUUUCUUUUUAAAACUAACUCCAAAAUUCUCCCUCGGAAUAAAUCCAUCCAAACCGAUGACAGAAACAUCAUUUAAAUUUCGCGUAAAGAACAUAACUACUUUAGAAAUGACGCUAUAUCCAAAAUAAAAACUGGAAACUAAGACCAAUCCUCUAAAACCAGAACACACACUUUGGACGAAAUUUACUUGCAAGUUUCCUUAAAGGACUCUUAAGAUGGAGGUGUAGUAUCAACUCCUAAUGAAAUACAUUUCAUUUACAACUGCACACACCCUAAGACCUCAUAUGGUGUUUCAAGAGAACUCACGUGGUUGGAUGGGAUUCCUGGGCUGAGGCUUGCAGCCUGCAACUUCGAAG